Molecule: ribosomal RNA, 243 nt
Filed under: uncultured bacterium
Lineage: Bacteria
Description: partial 16S ribosomal RNA
Rfam family: Bacterial small subunit ribosomal RNA
Source: RNAcentral
UUCGGACUGGUGGCGAGCGGCGGACGGGUGAGUAACGCGUAAGAAUGUACCCCAAACUGAGGGAUAAGCACCAGAAAUGGUGUCUAAUACCGCAUGUGCACUUCGGUGUAAAGCUUCGGCGGUUUGGGAACAGCUUGCGUAUGAUUAGCUAGUUGGUGAGGUGAUGGCUCACCAAGGCGACGAUCAUUAGCUGGUCUGAGAGGAUGAUCAGCCACACUGGAACUGAGACACGGUCCAGACUCC